Long non-coding RNA from Vitis riparia (riverbank grape), 477 nucleotides. RefSeq lists it as uncharacterized. The record is from RefSeq and is a predicted model, not a curated record. The transcript has 2 exons. NCBI's taxonomy places the organism in Eukaryota, Viridiplantae, Streptophyta, Magnoliopsida, Vitales, Vitaceae.
UUUAGUGCGACCUUUGGGAGUCCGAAACAACGCAUAAACUUUUGCUCGUUAGGAUAGACAACGACCCACUUACCUUAUGUGGAGAUGCUUCAAUACGAUGCGACAUCAUUCACUUCCGCAUUGCUUUCUUGCUCCAUUGCUCACCUGCUUUGUUGUUUCUUUCUCUGAAGAGACAUUCUGUGGAGCAGUAAGUACACAGCAACUGAAAAUCAUGUUGAGGGGCCUGCUCAAGGGACAAGAAAGCUGAGCAAGCAUGUGGUAAGGGAGGAAUUUCAUUGAAGCAUCUCUUGAUUUAAAUUCCUGCUAUACUGUCAUGUCUGAUUUCAUAAGACUGUCUAUAGAGAUUUUACCAUAUGGAAUUCUAGAAAGUUGGAUAGAAAAAUUCAUCUGCUAAUUUUGAUGAAUGAAUGGUUCUUUCCCUGAAAACCUUUUGAUACUUGAUGAACCUAAAUCCAUAGCAGGUCUUUUUCUUUUUCU